Molecule: long non-coding RNA, 938 nt
Organism: Chinchilla lanigera (long-tailed chinchilla)
Lineage: Eukaryota; Metazoa; Chordata; Mammalia; Rodentia; Chinchillidae
Exons: 3
Source: RefSeq, a predicted model, not a curated record
AACGCUGGAAAAACUAAGUACUACACAGACAAAAGAAUGAGGCAGUCUGCAAAACUAACCCCAGCACUUGGGGAAGGGGACUUGUCUCCCCUAAUACACACCAUGAAACUCUCCACUUUAAGAGGAGCCAACUGCUCGUUACUUCUCUGACUCGAACCGAAACCCGUCCCAGGAAUGGAGGGACCAAGGAGGAGAGCGGCACAGACUGCGAUUCCUGAGUGAAGGCUGAGUCUCCAGGGGUGACAGCUGUAGAGGAGGUGAGCAACCCCCAAGCCACUGCCAGAUUGGCUGUCCCCUAAGCUUCUCCUGUAGCGCUGAAACUUUAAUCACACUGGCCCUUCCUUUGAGGGGAAAUGCUUCAUCCAAGAUGGCUGUCUCACCUCUGGAAGGAGGCCAGGCAGCUGCUGUCUUGGCUGCAGUAUCAAGGAGUCUUGGUUUCUCUGAGGGGUAUUGUGAAGGGUCCUCCUCGAACUGCAUGUGGUCCACUUACCCAGGGAGGAAGUAGCAGACCCUUCUCUCUGGAAACACAGACCUCUGUUGUAGAUGUAGUUACUGCAAGGAGAGUUGGUGGGUGUGGAUGUCCAGCGUGGAAGUGGGAGCUUUGUGUUUGAGUAAUAGACCAUUAGCUCUCUGGAGAGAAAUACUCCAAUUAACAGAUGGUCCAAGAUAGGAGGAAAACAUUCUGACAUAAAUUCAAGUAAAAGUGGAAUCAGCGUUCUUGUGAAACUGUAAUCAAAGAACUAUUUAUUGGUUCUACUGCCUGAAUUUAAGUAGACUAGUAAAAUGACCUCAAAAUCAAUCCACAAGUACUUAUAAGGUAUCUACUGUUUGCCAAUACCUCUCCAGUCUCUUUUCUUUAGAAAUGUGUUUGUACUCCAGAUCAGAGGCCAUCAAACUAUGGCCUUUAAGAUAAAUUUAGCCACAAUUUUAUCAAUAAA